RNAcentral lists this ribosomal RNA (525 nucleotides) under uncultured Geobacillus sp. RNAcentral describes it as "bacterial SSU rRNA". It matches the Rfam family "Bacterial small subunit ribosomal RNA", at positions 1 to 507 of the family's 1533-position model. Lineage: Bacteria; Bacillati; Bacillota; Bacilli; Caryophanales; Anoxybacillaceae. The record is from RNAcentral.
CGUAGACGAGUUUGACGUCUGGACUCAGGCGUAAGCUGGCGGUGUGCCUAAUACAUGGCAAGUCGAGCGGCCGAACGAGGGGCUUGCUCUUGUUUGGUCGAGCGGCGGACGGGUGAGUAACACGUGGGCAACCUGCCGCAAGACCGGGAUAACUCCGGGAAACCGGAGCUAAUACCGGAUAACACCGAGACCGCAUGGUCUUCGGUUGAAAGCGGCUUUGGGCUGUCACUUGCGGAUGGGCCCGCGGCGCAUUAGCUAGUUGGUGAGGUAACGGCUCACCAAGGCGACGAUGCGUAGCCGGCCUGAGAGGGUGACCGGCCACACUGGGACUGAGACAGGCCCAGACUCCUACGGGAGGCAGCAGUAGGGAAUCUUCCGCAAUGGGCGAAAGCCUGACGGAGCGACGCCGCGUGAGCGAAGAAGGCCUUCGGGUCGUAAAGCUCUGUUGUGAGGGACGAAGGAGCGCCGUUCGAAGAGGGCGGCGCGGUGACGGUACCUCACGAGAAAGCCCCGGCUAACUACGUG